RNAcentral lists this transfer RNA (63 nucleotides) under Cerogria janthinipennis. RNAcentral describes it as "tRNA-Tyr". Lineage: Eukaryota; Metazoa; Arthropoda; Insecta; Coleoptera; Tenebrionidae. The record is from RNAcentral.
GAUAAAAUGGCCGAUUAUAAGCAAUAAAUUGUAAAUUUAUUAAUGAAAAAUUUUCUUUUAUCA